This 749-nucleotide long non-coding RNA is filed under the name Capra hircus (goat). Its description in RNAcentral is "lncRNA (ENSCHIG00010017595.1)". The record is from RNAcentral. Lineage: Eukaryota; Metazoa; Chordata; Mammalia; Artiodactyla; Bovidae.
CUCCAGGAUCAACCACUUUAAUAACUAGUGAGAAACUGAAAGGGUAGCCACAGGAAAAACAGCUAAGAUUUUAUAGUAAUUGACAGGCUUUCACAGAAAUAGAAUUUGUGUCGCUUUAACUGACCAGUGAAAACAAUUGAUUCAUUUAGUUAAAAUGUCAGUCAAACCAGUUAUUUUAACAGUUGGCAGUGGUUAAGAAUGAAAUUAGUCAAAUCCGUUGAAAGGACAGGCAGGAAUUUAGAGAAGUCUCUCAAUCCCCAUCAAUAAUGAAAAACUGAAGGGAAUUCCUUAGUGUGGCACAGCAAGCAGAGCUAUGGGUAUGGGCUCGUACCUUUAAACACUGACUUUUCAAUACGGAAAACUGACUGACAAAUACAAAGAAGAUGCUAAAAACACUUCAAAGCAACAUAAUGAUUAUGAGAAAAGAGUAGGCCAGUUAGAUGAUUAAAAAGUUUCUAUCUCAGCAGAAAUAUUUAUGGAUUUGAAGAAUGAAAGUAUGAAAUGUAUCCUAAUGGGAAGAUGAAUGUUCACACUCAUAGUCUGUGUUUGUCAGUCACCAGUGGUCUCAGCUUGCCCAGGACUGCCCCCUGAAGGAGGAAACGGCAACCCGCUCCAGUGUUCUUGCAGGGAAAAUCCCAUGCACAGAAGAGCCUGGAAGGCUACAGUCCAUGGGUUCAGAUAUAACUGAGUGACUAAGCAUACAAGAUCCAGUGUAGCAUAGAAAGUCCUACACACACACACACACACAC